Molecule: ribosomal RNA, 1357 nt
Filed under: uncultured bacterium
Lineage: Bacteria
Description: partial 16S ribosomal RNA
Rfam family: Bacterial small subunit ribosomal RNA
Source: RNAcentral
GACGAACGCUGGCGGCGUGCUUAACACAUGCCUUUCGAACGAGACGAUUGAAAGCUUGCUUUUGAAAGUCGAGUGGCAAACGGGUGAGUAACGCGUAGACAACCUGCCGUAAAGAUGGGGACAACAGUUCGAAAGGACUGCUAAUACCGAAUGUUGUAGAGUUUCCGCAUGGGGAUUCUACUAAAGGUGGCCUCUACUUGUAAGCUAUCGCUUUACGAUGGGUCUGCGUCUGAUUAGCUAGUUGGUGGGGUAACGGCCUACCAAGGCGACGAUCAGUAGCCGGUCUGAGAGGAUGAACGGCCACAUUGGAACUGAGACACGGUCCAGACUCCUACGGGAGGCAGCAGUGGGGAAUCUUCCGCAAUGGGCGCAAGCCUGACGGAGCAACGCCGCGUGAGUGAAGAAGGGUUUCGACUCGUAAAGCUCUGUUGUCGGGGACGAAUGUGGAGAUGGUGAAUAACCAUUUCCAAUGACGGUACCUGACGAGGAAGCCACGGCUAACUACGUGCCAGCAGCCGCGGUAAUACGUAGGUGGCGAGCGUUAUCCGGAAUGAUUGGGCGUAAAGGGUACGUAGGCGGCCAGAUAAGUCUGGUGUGAAAGGCUGCAGCUCAACUGCAGCACUGCACUGGAAACUGUCCGGCUGGAGUGCAGAAGAGGGCAGCGGAACUCCAUGUGUAGCGGUAAAAUGCGUAGAUAUAUGGAAGAACACCGGUGGCGAAGGCGGCUGCCUGGUCUGCAACUGACGCUGAAGUACGAAAGCGUGGGGAGCAAAUAGGAUUAGAUACCCUAGUAGUCCACGCCGUAAACGAUGAGAACUAGGUGUUGGGGGAAUAACUCAGUGCCGCAGUCAACGCAAUAAGUUCUCCGCCUGGGGAGUAUGCACGCAAGUGUGAAACUCAAAGGAAUUGACGGGGGCCCGCACAAGCGGUGGAGUAUGUGGUUUAAUUCGAAGCAACGCGAAGAACCUUACCAGGUCUUGACAUCGAUCUAAAAGGGAGAGAGAUCUCCUCAUAGCUAUAGAGAAGACAGGUGGUGCAUGGUUGUCGUCAGCUCGUGUCGUGAGAUGUUGGGUUAAGUCCCGCAACGAGCGCAACCCCUGUCGCCAGUUGCCAGCAUUGAGUUGGGGACUCUGGCGAGACUGCCUCUGCAAGGAGGAGGAAGGCGGGGAUGACGUCAAAUCAUCAUGCCCCUUAUGACCUGGGCCACACACGUGCUACAAUGGACGGAGCAGAGGGAAGCGAGACCGCGAGGUUGAGCAGAGCCCAGAAACCCGUUCUCAGUUCGGACUGCAGUCUGCAACUCGACUGCACGAAGCUGGAAUAGCUAGUAAUCGCGGAUCAGCAUGCCGCGGUGAAU